GAUGAACGCUGGCGGCGUGCUUAACACAUGCAAGUCGAACGGAAAGGCUCCUGCUUGCAGGGGUACUCGAGUGGCGAACGGGUGAGUAACACGUGGGUGAUCCGCCCUGCACUUCGGGAUAAGCCUGGGAAACUGGGUCUAAUACCGGAUAGGACCACAUUUUGGAUGGUGUGGUGGAAAGUUUUUCGGUGUGGGAUGAGCUCGCGGCCUAUCAGCUUGUUGGUGGGGUAAUGGCCUACCAAGGCGUCGACGGGUAGCCGGCCUGAGAGGGUGUACGGCCACAUUGGGACUGAGAUACGGCCCGGACUCCUACGGGAGGCAGCAGUGGGGAAUAUUGCACAAUGGGCGCAAGCCUGAUGCAGCGACGCCGCGUGGGGGAUGACGGCCUUCGGGUUGUAAACUCCUUUCGCUAGGGACGAAGCGCAAGUGACGGUACCUGGAGAAGAAGCGCCGGCUAACUACGUG
This 465-nucleotide ribosomal RNA is filed under the name uncultured bacterium. RNAcentral describes it as "partial 16S ribosomal RNA". It matches the Rfam family "Bacterial small subunit ribosomal RNA", at positions 28 to 507 of the family's 1533-position model. The record is from RNAcentral.